AAGUACCAAAGAGGGAAUGCUCCCUCAGGCCCCCAAACCUGGAGCUUAGGAUUUCAGAGAGAAGGAUACUGUGUGGGGACUUGAGCUUCUGGAGAGGGUGGCGCCUCGCGUCAUAGUCAGAAGCCUAGUCUUGUUUUUUUUACAGAGGCUUAAUUUUCAGCAUUUGGGGUCAGGCUUUCCUCUUGGAGGCAAGUAGGGUGAUGAAAAAGAAUCCUUAGGCGUGGUUGUGGCCGUCUUGGUCACCUGUGUGCCACUUGCCAAUGCAAGGACUUGUCAUAGUUACACUGACUGUUGCCUCCUCCCGGCCCAGGUUCCUCUCCC
This 321-nucleotide long non-coding RNA is filed under the name Homo sapiens (human). Its description in RNAcentral is "HSALNT0006123". The stretch from base 191 to 294 matches the Rfam family "Small nucleolar RNA SNORD46". Lineage: Eukaryota; Metazoa; Chordata; Mammalia; Primates; Hominidae. The record is from RNAcentral.